AAUUUUUUAUCAAUUUUCUUCAUUUUUACAAGAAACUAAUUUUUGGCAUUGCUUGAUUGUAUCUCCAUUUUAUUUACUCUUGCUGUUAUUUUUUUUCAUUUCAUUUUGUUCUAAUAAUUUUGGAAUUGCCACUCUUUUAACUUCUUGAGUUAAAAGCUUUGAAUAUUACCUUGGACCAUUUUCUUUUCAAGUGUAGCCAUAUAGCUGUAUUUUUUAGCUGUAUAUGUUACUCGACACCGUUGAUUGUGGCUGAUUGCCAAAAGUGAGAUUAACUCUCCACUCAAAACUGUGUGAUAAGUUGAGACUGGUGACAUGACAAUCACCAGUAGGCUGUGAAAAGAGUUAUUACCUAUAUAGGAGGAUUUUCUGGGUAAAGUAGGACAGGCUCAAGACAGUUUAGGUAACUUGAGGGAAGCAGAGAGAGUGAGUUAAUUUUUAGUAUGGCUAAGAGGUGGGAAUGGGAAGAUUUCAUGCCUGUGCAAAUGGGUCUGAGCUUCAGUGAUAUGAAUGUUCUGCUAGUACCAUGGAAGCAGAUUGUCUCUUCACUACAUUGAUCAUUUCCUUCGCUUUCAAGAAGCUGCUUUGCUUCAUGUGGAGUAAUGUGUAGAAGCAACUGAAAAGGAACAGAUGAUGAAUCAGUUUGAAUGUCUGGAAAAUCAUCUGAGCAAAUUCCAGCAAAAGCUGGAAGAUCCAGAGAGCAGAGGGAGAUAGCAUCCUGAAAUAGGGUAAAGGGAAAGGAAUCUGGAUGCUGAAAUGUGACUAUGCAUCUCUGAUGGAUGGUAGAAAGCAAUCUUCAGCCUGAGACCCAUUCCUAGCUAUUCGUUUCAUAUAUCCCUGAGACUGGUUGGAAAACUUCUCAUUCUCCAAGUAACUCUCUUACGAUGCAUAGAGUGCCUAGAAAACCCACACAAAAUUACUAUCCAUUCUACAGAGCACCAAUCUCAUGGAAUAGAAGUUUCCUUAAUGAUUUUGUCCUUCUCUGGGAACCUAUCUGUGAGUUCUAGAGAACUCACACCACAAAGAAAACUGUCUGCUCUGAAUAUGCCGGAUCCACUCAAUGCUGAAGUGUGUUCUCUGCUUCAUUGGCGGCCUGAUGAUUGCAGCACUCUCAUAACCAGUCUUCUGAUACCCAAGCUCUCAACUCUCAUCUCUCAUCACCUUACCAUCAGGAAACAUUCUGAAACAAGCAUCUGAAACACAUGAUUCUCAAUGCUUUAUGCUGGUUAAUGAUUCUUUAUUGUUUAAAAUAUUUAAGCAUGGUAUCAAAUGUUGCUCAAAAGCUGACCACUGUUUUGAUACCAGUACCAUGCUGUUUUGGUUACUGUAGCCUUGUAGUAUAGUUUGAAGUCAGGUAGCGUGAUGCCUCCAGCUUUGUUCUUUUGGCUUAGGAUUGACUUGGCAAUGCGGGCUCUUUUUUGAUUCCAUGUGAACUUUAAAGUAGUUUUUUCCAAUUCUGUGAAGAAAGUCAUUGGUAGCUUCAUGGGGAUGGCAUUGAAUCUAUAAAUUACCUUGGGCAGUGACCAAUGGAACAGAACAGAGCCCUCAGAAAUAAUACCACACAUCUACAACCAUCCGAUCUUUGACAAACCUGACAAAAACAAGAAAUGGGGAAAGGAUUCCUUAUUUAAUAAAUGGUGCUGAGAAAACUGGCUAGCCAUUAGGUAGAAAGCUGAAACUGGAAUGCUUCCCUACACCUUAUACAAAAAUUAAUUCAAGAUGGAUUAAAGACUUAAAUAUUAGACCUAAAACCAUAAAAACCCUAGAAGAAAACCUAGGCAAUACCAUUCAGGACAUAGGCAUGAGCAAGGACUUCAUGACUAAAACACCAAAAGCAAUGGCAACAAAAGCCAAAAUUGACAAAUGGGAUCUAAUUAAACUAAAGAGCUUCUACACAGCAAAAGAAACUACCAUCAUAGUGAACAGGCAACCUACAGAAUGGGAGAAAAUUGUUGCAAUCUGGAGUUUGAGACCAUCCUGGCCAACAUGGCAAAACCUUGUCUCUACUGACAAUACAAAAAGUAGCCAGGUGUGGUGGCACAUGCCUAUAAUCCCCAGCUACUCAGAAGGCUAAGGCAGGAGAAUCACUUGAACAGGGAGGUGGAGGUUGCAGUGAGCUGAGAUUCUGCCAUUGCACUCCAGCCUGGGCGACAAGAGCGAAACUCCGUUUCAAAAAUAAAAUAAAAUAAAAUAAAUUCUCACCAAUAAUCUAAUACCUGAAUUAGAUCUCACUGAACUAACUUCCUCAUUUUAGGAGCAGUACUUACCAUUGAGAUCCCCAAGUUACACAAGCAGUGAGUCCUAUUGUUGAUAUGUAAGCAUAGGUAUUUUGACUCCAAGUGGUGUCAAAAUUUUUUCGACUUUUUAGAAAAAGUAGAGGCUCACAGUGUCAGAACAAACUCGGCUGCUGAAUGUGAAUUCCUCCAAUUUGCCAUCCUUUCCUGCUGAACAAAGGAGGUAAUUCUGUACUAAGACUCUUCUUACUGAUAGAUGUGGUCCACAGUCUAUGGUCCUGACCUGGGACUUGCCAUGAACUUCUUGGCUUCCAGACCUUGCAGUUCAUAAGUAACAAAGGCCAGAGAUUUGUAGUAUUGUUGUGGGAGAAGGCAUCCUGAUUCUCAAUAAUAAUACAUUAGUUCUCAGUAAUAAUAAAUCGAUGGACAGUUGGGAACCAAAGAAUCCAGGGUUAGUGAUGAGAUACUAGAACAUUCAGCUAUUUUCAGGACAUAGUGAGUUCACUUGAGAGUUCUCUAUAGAGAAGUUUCAUACUCUUAUAACUAUCUGUCUUCAAAUGGAGAUCAGAUAAAAAGGGUAGGCAGAGUAACUUGCGAGGAAUGAAUAGCCUUUUUUCCCCUCUAUUUCUUUAGCUCAUAUAGAACUCUGAGUUGUCAAUCUUGCGUAUAUACAUCAUGCAAAAUCAACUUUGUUUCGGAGCUCCGUGGCAGAUUCUCAUUGUCUUUUUAUCAAGAAAAAUAAAACAUUUUGCUAUUAUAUUUACAAUAGCUAUGUUUCAAGCUUUUAUACUUUUUCUAUUCUAUUUUUCAUUUUUGCACUUCAGAGUGCAAAGGCAUGUUUCACAGCAUUGUAAAAAAAAAAUACAUAUCAUCUAAUUCCUCUAACUUCCCAUAUCUUGACUAAAACUCUGUGUAAGCAUAAGGUACCAUCUUACAUUGUCACUCUAUGUACUUCUGGCUCUGAACCAUCUUUCCUGUUCCUGAGAGAUACUCAGAAAAAUAAUAGGGCGUCUUCCAGAUGAUUAUGUGUCUGUGGGAAGCGGGUUAGGGAACACUAGACAUUGUUUGUAACCUCUAACAAUCCAUUAUUCAUAAGCAUGGGGUAUUUGAAGAGCUGUCUUUCAUGAUUAAGAGAUGUUUUCAUUUUAAUGGUCUCAUAUGUCCUCAUAAAUGCGUAGGCAGCACUUAUAUUCCAUCAUGACAGAGAUUUCUGGGCUAUAAAAAUACAUAUGGUUUUAUUUUGUCUAAUAGUUUUCAUCAUUGUCAAUAUUCUAUUUCAUAGCAUAAAGCUCCACAAUGUUAGGUAUUUGCAGCAGGAGGUCGAUUAAAUAUAUACACACCACUUUGACAUUCUUAUGUUCUCUUCUAAAACAAGACAAAAAGUAAAUGCAAAAAGAUAUAAAAGAGUGCAGGUAAAAAUGAAAGAACAAGCAGCGUGAGAUGAUUCCAAAGUUAAGUUUUAGAAAAGAUUUUUUUAAAAUAGCUCUUAUUUUAAUUCGUGAUUUAAAUAUAACAUGUUCAGUAUUUUACUUCUUAGAGAUGUAAUGAGAGUUAAAUUAGACUAUCUGAAAAGCACAUCAAAGUUUGUAUUUAACCCCUAUUAAAAAUACUAUUUCUUACUGAUAAUUUUUCAAUUUUGAUUUGUAACCUAACCUAAUAAAAAGACUGAUUUUAUUUUUAUGACUGCAAACAUACUAUUCAAAAAGACAAUGGCAUUCAUUUUGUGGAGUCUACAUUCUGUCAUACAGUGGUAUGCAAUAUUAUAGUGGGUAAAGAGAAUUCCAUUUUAGAGAGGCUUGGUUAUGUUUAUGAAAACUAUGCUCAUUCAGUGUACUGCUUUCAUACAUUUAAUUCCCAUGUAAAAUUCAUUAGGACACAUUAUGCUGUGAGAAACUUGGAAAGCAUAUUUUUCUGUUUUCGGUCCUGGAGCACAUUUGUCAUAAGUGCAUGCGUUGGACAUUUUCUAUUCCGUUUCACUUUUAUUUAUAAUUCUUACACAACCUUUUUGGAAGUGGCAUUGAGUUUCACAAUUUAGAUUGUUUAGUGGAAGUUCACUGGCUACAUUCCAAAAUCUAAUUACUUGGCUUAAUUGAAAAACUUUUAGAUUUGCGCUGGCUGGCAUUUUCUUACUCCAUAGAUAAUAGGUUAGUUUUUCUCCUCAAAGUAAACCUCCUUCCCAAACCAAGCACACACCUACAACACGUAGUUGAGCUGUGACUGCCUCCUGCUUAUAAUUACCAACAAAAUAGAGGAAAGUCACAGGUUCUCCCUUCCUGAAGUGUUGCUAAUAGAACAUCUCAAUCUUAGAAGGAAAAAAAUGUUUGCUAGAAUUUGGAACUAACAAAUUGUCAAGAUGCCAUAAUAUGAAAGUAAGUUUCCAUUUCACUUCAAAAUAUUUCAGCACUUUGUAAGUUUUGCUCAGAGUGAUGGGUUAAAAAUAUUUUCUAUAAACAAAUAUGGGACAUAGUCAUUUGACAUUUAAUAGAGCAUAUGCAAUUAUUUACAUUUCCUGAAAGAGAAAAUAGGAAAAACAACUUUCGGGGCAUAUACAGUAUUCCAUUGUCUUAAUCUAUUGUGUACUGCUGUAAAAAAAUACCACAGACUGAGUAAUUUAUAAUGAAAAUAAAUUUAUUUGGCUCAUAAUUCUGGAGGCUGAGAAGUCCAAGACUGAGGGUCUACAUCUGAUAAGGGCCGUCUUGCUCGGUCAUCCCAUGGCAGAAGAUGGAAAAGCAGAAGAGAACACGUAAGAGAACACAUGAGAGGGAGGAAGGGAAGGCCAAAUUUGAAAUGAUAACAAAUGCACUGUCAUGAUAAGAAACCUUGCCCUGCAAUAAUGACAUUACUCUAUUCAUAAUAACAGAGCUCUGGUAACCUAAUCACCUCUUAAAGGUCUCACCUCUCAACACUAUUACACUGGGGAUUAAGUUUCCAAUGCAUGGAUUCUGGGGGACGCAUUCAAACCACAGCAUCAAUGUUCUGUUGAAACUUUACAUUUUAGAAUAAAAGGAAAAUCUAAAUUUUUAUUUCUUACCAGAGUAUAUGAUAAUGGAGAAAAUUAUAAAAAUCAUAAUUAAUUAAACAGCUGCUUAAAUUCAACCCAUGAGUCUAUUAGAAUAAAAUAAAAUUUGUUGAGGACAUGUUAGUGCAUGGCUACCACUGGCAAUCAAUUUCACAUACUAUUUCUUUCUAAAUUUAUUGAGGUAUAUUUGACAAAUAAAACAUGUAUGUAUUUAAGCUGUACAACCUGAUGUCAUGAUAUAUGUAUGCACUAUAAACUGCUCACGAUCAAACUAAGUGAUAUAUCAAUCACCUCAAAUACCUUUUUAUUGGACUGAUAACACUUAAGAUCAACUCUCUUAGCACAUUUCAAGUAUACAAUACAUUGUUGUUAACUAGAGUCACAGUGCUAUAUGUUAGAUCUACAGAAAUUAUUGUUCUGUGUAACUAAAACUUUAUACCCUUUGAUUAACAUUUCCCCACUUCUCUCAGCCUCUGGGCUUUGGAAACCACUGUUCUACUCUCUGCAAUUAUGAGUUUGACUUUUUAAAACUUCACAUGUAAGAGAAAUCAUGCAGUAUUAGUUUUUGUGUGUCUGGCUUAUUCUACUUAAUAUAAUGUCUUCUAGGUUCAUCCAUGUUGUUGAAAAUGGCAGUAUUUCCUUCUUUUGAAUGCCGAAUAUUCCAUUCUCUGUGUGUGUGUGUGUGUGUGUGUGUGUGUGUGUGUGUGUGUGUAACAUGUUUUUAAUCCCCUCUUCCUACCAGGAACACUUAGAUUGGUUCCACAUUUUGGUUAUUUGUGAAUGAUGCUAUAGAGAAUAUGAGGAUACAGAUAUCUCUUUAGGAUACUGAUUUUAUUUCUUUUGCAUAUACGUCUAUAAGUGAAAUGGCUGGAUUAUGUGGUAGUUCUAUUUUUAAAAAAUUUUUGAGGCAUUUCCAUACUGCUUUUCACAAUGGCAACACCAAUUUAUAGUCCCACCAACAUUGUAAAAGGAUUACCUUGUUUCAACAUCCUAACCAAUGCUUCUCUUUUAUCUUUUUGAUAAUAGCUUUUCUAGCAGGUGUGAAGUAAUAUCUCAUUGUGGUUUUCAUUAACAUUUCCCUGAUGAUUAGUGAUUUGAGCACUUUUUGAUUUACCUGUUGUCCAUUUCUAUGUAUUCUUUUGGGAAACAUCUAUACAAAUCCCUAGCCCAUAUAUUAAUCAGGUUAUUUACUAUUUUGCUAUUGAGUUGUAUACAUUUUUGAUAUGCUUUGCAUAUUAACCCCUUAUCAGACACAUGGUUUACAAGUAUUUUCUCCCAUUCCAUAAGCUGAAUUUUCACUCUGCUGAUGAUUUUAUUUGCUGGGCAGAAGCUUUAUUAUUUGAUACAGUUUGACUUGUCUAUAUAUGCUAUGGGUAUUUGUUCUUUCUUUAGAGGUUAUAUCUAAAAAAUUAUUGCCCAGACAAAUAUCAAGAAACAUAUAGAAACUAUAUGUGCUUCUACUAGUUCUAUGGUUUCUGGUCUUAAGUUUAAUCUUUAAUCCAUGUUGAGUUGAUUUUAGAAUGUUUUAUAAGACUAUGUUCCAAUUUUAAACUUUUGCAUGAGGAGAUUCAGUUUUCUCAGCACUAUUUAUUGACAAGACUGUCCUUUCUCCAUUGUGUCUUCUUGGCAUCUUUGUUGAAGAUCAGUCGACAAGAAACACGGUUGUAUUUCUGGGCUGUUUGGUUUCAUUCAUCAAUCUCUCUUUUUGUUCCAUUACCAUACUUUUUUAAUGGCUCCAGCUUUGUGAUGCCUCCGUUUUUGGUCUUGUUGCUCAAAAUUGCUUAGCUAUUUGUGGUCUUCUGUGAUUCCAUAUGAAUUUUAAGAUUUUUUUUCUAUUUUUGUAAAGAAUUUUACUGAGAUUUUUGAUAGGGAUUGCAUCGAUUCUUCAGAUCACUUUGGGUAGUAUAGACAUUUUAAUAAUAUUAAAUCUUUCAACCCAAGAGUAUAGGAUGGCUUUCCAUUUGUCUGUAUAUUCUUUAAUUUUC
This 7235-nucleotide long non-coding RNA is filed under the name Homo sapiens (human). RNAcentral describes it as "HSALNT0191436". Lineage: Eukaryota; Metazoa; Chordata; Mammalia; Primates; Hominidae. The record is from RNAcentral.